This 354-nucleotide unclassified non-coding RNA is filed under the name soil metagenome. RNAcentral's name for it is "partial contains 5.8S ribosomal RNA, internal transcribed spacer 2, and large subunit ribosomal RNA". The stretch from base 1 to 120 matches the Rfam family "5.8S ribosomal RNA", at positions 35 to 154 of the family's 154-position model. The record is from RNAcentral.
GAUGAAGAACGUAGCGAAACGCGAUAUGUAAUGUGAAUUGCAGAAUUCAGUGAAUCAUCGAAUCUUUGAACGCACAUGGCGCCUUCCAGUAUCCUGGGAGGCAUGCCUGUCCGAGCGUCGUUUCAACCCUCGAGCCCCCGUGGCCCGGCGUUGGGGAUCUGCCCAGGCAGUCCCCGAAAACCAGUGGCGGACCCGUUACAGGCCCUUCCCUUGCGUAGUAGCAUUCGCCUCGCAUCGGGAGCCGGCGGGCUUCCAGCCUCUAAACCCCCAUCAAGUCCGCCCCGGCGGCACCAAGGUUGACCUCGGAUCAGGUAGGGAUACCCGCUGAACUUAAGCAUAUCAAUAAGCGGAGGA